Molecule: long non-coding RNA, 625 nt
Filed under: Spirodela polyrhiza (greater duckweed)
Lineage: Eukaryota; Viridiplantae; Streptophyta; Magnoliopsida; Alismatales; Araceae
Description: long non-coding RNA (SPOL_LNC001244)
Source: RNAcentral
GGAACUGAAUAAAGAAAAAUAAGAAUGCGCACGUUCCCUGCGGCACAUCAACAAGAAAGAGAAAAUAAUGCAUGUUCAGAAAAGGCUGUCUAAUAUAACCUUUUCACGAUUCCAAACACGGUGGGAUUUCCACCAUAAAAAACUGGGAAUUACAAUAAGAACUAAAUAUGUUCGCAUGAAACCAAAGUAAACAAUUAAUCAAUAACCAGAAAAAAGCACGAAGAAAACUCUGAUAACAUGGACUUUCGAAUCUAUACCUGUACACAAAAUAAUAUCCCUGAUGGAGUAAACAGCCGAAUGAGACGGCGGCAUACUCACCUAAACCGGAGAAGCCUCAAAUUACGACAGCACUCCACCCCUCCACUCCUCCGCGAACCCUAGGAACAAUGAGAGUCGGCCAACAGAGUCUCCAUGCUCUGUACACCCAAAACCGCUUCCUCCUCAGGAAGAAAGGCCCCGAGGAGACGGCCCCGCAGUGGAGGUGGGGGAUAAGAGAACCUCCACGUUACCUACUCGCCGGAUGAGCGCCGCCGGCCAGCCCCGCCUCCGCGGGGAUGUGGUGCCGUCGCGGCCGCGCAGGCAGUGUGGGGUUUACAGAGAUGGCAGAGAAGCGACGGUCUCCGCA